Homo sapiens (human) is the source of this 1033-nucleotide long non-coding RNA. RefSeq lists it as uncharacterized. The transcript has 3 exons. NCBI's taxonomy places the organism in Eukaryota, Metazoa, Chordata, Mammalia, Primates, Hominidae. The record is from RefSeq and is a predicted model, not a curated record.
GGGAUGCCACCGUGGUGCUGGGCCUGCAAGGGAGCCCCCAGGAGACUCUAUUAAGCUCCCAUUUGACAAGUUUUAAAACUGGCCCAACCCAGGCAUGUGCACAGGAUCAGAAGCCCCAUCUCUCUAAAUUACUAGGUUGAAAUGCCACAUCUUAACGACUCAUGCACCGUCCACACUACUGCUGCGGUAUCUGUGUCCCACCAGGGCUGUGUUUGAUUUUUUAAAUGAACUCGAUUUGUUUUAUUGUUUUGUAAUUUGAACAUGUAGAGAUGGAGGUAAAUAGAAAACCGGCAUCUGUGUAUUACACAUAGAAAGUCACCAUAAAAAUAAACACAAUGAAUACUCUUCAGCAAAGGGAAUGAAAAAUCUACAACUACAUACCACUGAACACAAAUGGAAAUCACCAACAGGUUGAGGGAGAGAAGCUGAGCCCAGGUUUGGAGGGGCAUUGGAAAGGAAAUGACUUUCUCACUGUGCAAUGCCAGGCUUUGUUCAAGCAUUUGGGAAAACAAUGAGGAGGCAGCUUAUUCCCAGCUCCAGAAUACAUCAAACAAUAUUACCUUGAAACAAGCAGGCACCUCUGCAAGAGAGUGAAUUCUGGAUCAAGCAACAGUUUCUUUAUGUCACUGUGGAAGAAAUCCGGACAAAAGUGAGACAAAAGUUUUCAAUCAAACAAUAAAGCAUGGGGGUUGAUCAAUAUACUCUUGAAAUGAAAAAUUCCAGUCAAAUAACAUGUUUAGAAUUUACACAAGACAAGGUACUUUACCAUGACCCUGAAAUUAUAAAAGUUGAAGGGGGCUGAGAGUGUUCUCAAGGCUUGGAGAAGCAGCAGCUUUCAGCCACCACAGGGAGCUGCAGCGCUCUCAUUUCUGGUUUAUAGGCUUACAACAGUUUUUGAAAGUAUUAGCUGCCUAACUACUGGAACAAGAAUGCCAUUGUUGAAAAAAUCAUCAAGAACAGUAAAUACUUUAAAGAAGAUGACAUUCGUAAUUUAUUCUGAAACUAUUCCAAAAAUAAAGUAUCUAAGGAAGAA